This 64-nucleotide transfer RNA is filed under the name Ixodes scapularis (black-legged tick). It matches the Rfam family "tRNA". Rfam says of the family: Transfer RNA (tRNA) molecules are approximately 80 nucleotides in length. Their secondary structure includes four short double-helical elements and three loops (D, anti-codon, and T loops). Further hydrogen bonds mediate the characteristic L-shaped molecular structure. tRNAs have two regions of fundamental functional importance: the anti-codon, which is responsible for specific mRNA codon recognition, and the 3' end, to which the tRNAs corresponding amino acid is attached (by aminoacyl-tRNA synthetases). tRNAs cope with the degeneracy of the genetic code in two manners: having more than one tRNA (with a specific anti-codon) for a particular amino acid; and 'wobble' base-pairing, i.e. permitting non-standard base-pairing at the 3rd anti-codon position. The record is from Rfam by way of RNAcentral. Lineage: Eukaryota; Metazoa; Arthropoda; Arachnida; Ixodida; Ixodidae.
GCCUUGUUGGUAGAGCGCUCCACUUGUAAUGGAGAGGUCCCGGGUUCGAUACCCGGACCAGGCG